GUGCCAGCCGCCGCGGUAAGACGAAGGAUGCAAGCGUUAUCCGGAUUCAUUGGGUUUAAAGGGAGCGUAGGUGGCCUUAUAAGUCAGUGGUGAAAUCUUCCCGCUUAACGGGAAAAUUGCCAUUGAUACUGUAGGGCUUGAGUAUAGUUGCCGUUGGCGGAAUAUGACAUGUAGUGGUGAAAUACAUAGAGAUGUCAUAGAACACCGAUUGCGAAGGCAGCUAACGAAACUAUAACUGACACUGAGGCUCGAAAGUGCGGGGAUCAAACAGGAUUAGAUACCCCAGUAGUCC
RNAcentral lists this ribosomal RNA (292 nucleotides) under uncultured bacterium. RNAcentral describes it as "partial 16S ribosomal RNA". It matches the Rfam family "Bacterial small subunit ribosomal RNA", at positions 505 to 796 of the family's 1533-position model. The record is from RNAcentral.